UACGUAGGAUGCGAGCGUUAAUCGGAAUUACUGGGCGUAAAGUGUGCGCAGGCGGCCGAGCAAGUCGAGUGUGAAAGCCCCGAGCUUAACUUGGGAACUGCGCUCGAAACUACUUGGCUAGAGUGUGGCAGAGGGAGGUGGAAUUCCACGUGUAGCGGUGAAAUGCGUAGAGAUGUGGAGGAACACCAGUGGCGAAGGCGACUCUUUGGCCUGUAACUGACACUGAGGCGCGAAAGCGUGGGGAGCAAACAGG
This 253-nucleotide ribosomal RNA is filed under the name uncultured bacterium. RNAcentral describes it as "partial 16S ribosomal RNA". It matches the Rfam family "Bacterial small subunit ribosomal RNA", at positions 524 to 776 of the family's 1533-position model. The record is from RNAcentral.